AUUCCGGUUGAUCCUGCCGGAGGCCAUUGCUAUCGGAGUCCGAUUUAGCCAUGCUAGUCGUGCGAGUUCAGACUCGCGGCACCGAGCUCAGUAACACGUGGCCAAACUACCCUACAGAGACGGAUACCCUCGGGAAACUGAGGUUAACCCGUCAUACCGAUCUCAGGCUUGAAUCGCAGAGAUCACAAAACGCCCCGGCGCUGUAGGAUGUGGCUGCGGUUGAUUAGGUAGACGGUGGGGUAACGGCCCACCGUGCCCAUAAUCAGUACAGGUUGUGAGAGCAAGAACCUGGAGACGGAAUCUGAGACAAGAUUCCGGGCCCUACGGGGCGCAGCAGGCGCGAAACCUUUACACUGCACGCACGUGCGAUAAGGGGACUCCGAGUGCGAGGGCAUAUUGUCCUCGCUUUCGUGUACCGUAGGGUGGUACACCAACAAGGGCUGGGCAAGACCGGUGCCAGCCGCCGCGGUAAUACCGGCAGCCCGAGUGAUGGCCGAUCUUAUUGGGCCUAAAGCGUCCGUAGCUGGCCGCGC
This 533-nucleotide ribosomal RNA is filed under the name uncultured haloarchaeon. Its description in RNAcentral is "bacterial SSU rRNA". It matches the Rfam family "Archaeal small subunit ribosomal RNA", at positions 1 to 534 of the family's 1478-position model. The record is from RNAcentral. Lineage: Archaea; Methanobacteriati; Methanobacteriota; Halobacteria; Halobacteriales; Halobacteriaceae.